This is a small nuclear RNA of Artibeus jamaicensis (Jamaican fruit-eating bat), 108 nucleotides long. Lineage: Eukaryota; Metazoa; Chordata; Mammalia; Chiroptera; Phyllostomidae. The record is from RefSeq and is a predicted model, not a curated record.
AGAGCCUUCCAUGGUGCUCGCUGCGCUAAAAUGGGAACCACACAGAGAAGGUUAGCGUGGCCCCUGUGCAAGGCUGACACGUGAACUCGUGAAGCGUUUUGUAUUUUU